UCCGUAGGCGGUGUGGCAAGUCGGUAGUGAAAUCUCUCGGCUUAACUGAGAGGCUGCUGCCGAAACUGCCAUGCUCGAGUGCGAGAGAGGCGAGUGGAAUUGCGGGUGUAGCGGUGAAAUGCGUAGAUAUCUGCAGGAACAUCCGAGGCGAAAGCGGCUCGCUGGAUCGCAACUGACGCUGAGGGACGAAAGCUAGGGGAGCAAACAGGAUUAGAUACCCUGGUAGUCCUAGCCCUAAACCAUCAGGACUUGGGGUUUGCCCUGUACGGGGCAAGUCCCGGAGCUAACGCGUUAAGUCCUGCGCCUGGGGAGUACGGUCGCAAGGCUGAA
This 330-nucleotide ribosomal RNA is filed under the name uncultured bacterium. Its description in RNAcentral is "bacterial SSU rRNA". It matches the Rfam family "Bacterial small subunit ribosomal RNA", at positions 568 to 898 of the family's 1533-position model. The record is from RNAcentral.